GUUGCCGCUGCUCGGAGCCGCCCGCCCCGCCUGUGGGAAGCGGGACGCGGCCUUCGUUUCACGGUGCCCCGCGAUGGGCCGGAAAGAAUAAUGAGCGGUUCGCCCAAAGAAACCGCGAGCACGCCGGCUCUGCCGCUUGGGUGCCCCCGUGCCGCAGCCUCGGUGGCUCUUCACAGGGGGUCUCAGCGGCCAGGGCGGAGGGAUCGCUUCUCCGCCCGUCGGCUCUCUCCCGUCGGAAGGACUCGCACCUCCGCGAGUCUGCCCGCAGCCAGUCCUCUGUCGGAAGCCUCCCCGCCUCAGAGGCUUUCUCCCCUCGCGGGUCUCCCGUCAGCAGGCCCGGGCAGUUCUCCGUUGUGAAGACCUGAAGGAAAUUGUGACAUUACCACAUGGAGUAUCCACACGUGCAUCUGCAGAGGGUUAAAUUCAAAGGCCACGCAAAUGCCCUGGAAGGAAUGAAGAAUGGAAGAGAUACUCAAAGAAGGUCCAAACUAUUCUAAUGCACCGAUUCCCUCCAUGAUGUCAUUUGGAGAAUGACACUGACACCCCUCCACUCAUAAGGAAAGAAAAGAAACAGUAUUUGUGAUCAUGCCAAAAUGGAGCAACAGGAAAUGUGACCCCAACUCUUCAAGCAAGUCAGUUCUCUAAGUUUUGAAGCUGUAAAUAAAUUUUUCCUGAAUAUUCUGAUGUUAAUGUAACUGUAAAUUCAUUUGUUCCAUCUCUACAGUACUGUUCAUUGAAUUGUGGUCUUUGAGAGUUCAGACUAGAUAGAAACAAAU
Phasianus colchicus (ring-necked pheasant) is the source of this 776-nucleotide long non-coding RNA. RefSeq lists it as uncharacterized. The record is from RefSeq and is a predicted model, not a curated record. Lineage: Eukaryota; Metazoa; Chordata; Aves; Galliformes; Phasianidae.